CGGCAGUGUCCAUGUGCCUUUUUUAAAAUAAAGAAAUCCAAGCGGAAACCAAAUGAAGAAAUGACAGGGAAAGGGGAGCAGCUCAGUUUCAGUAUACCCUACUAAUGGGGUUACGGAAACAAUCCUCUCCAACAGGGAAACAAUCCUCUCCAAUAACGAUUUCUCAUAUACAACUAUCCUUUCUGUUUUCUCUGUGGCUCGAUCUACUCAAUUGUUUCUUUUUAUCGCUUUCCCUUUCCCUCUUGCAGAUCUCCCAUUUGAGACACCCUCCAGCUUCAUGCCAUUUUUGAAGGCUUUCCAAGUUGAAAUCUGCUUAGAAAGCUAGUCAGCGACUACCGACUAGUAUCGCUGGUUCUGGCUGAGUGAGAUCUAGAGUUUCCGGUUGGGGAGGACAUAGAAUCUGCUGUUUUCUUGAGGAUAGGAGGCUGAUCAAAUGGCUGAACAAAUUUCAGUAGAUGAAUGGAAGAAAAAGGGUAAGAAGAAGCAGAAAAGAAAAAAGGAGUAUUAAAAAGCAUACCGUGGUGGUGGAUUCAAAGAAUGUUGAUGAAAAGAAUGAUGAAGAUGAUUUUGAGAUUGAGAGGAAGUCUACUAAAAAUGAGCUUGUGGAGUAUACAACUGGGGACUUUGUUGAAGUUCGAGAUGUGGCGAAAAUUUCUGAAGCUGAUUUUGAGGAAAGAAAAUGCCAAAUUGAUUAUUGGAUACAUAGAGGAAAUGAAUCUUGUGCAGUUUCUCAAGCUCAUUUAUCAAAAAUGAGGAAUUUUCAAAUCAUUGAUGAGGUUGUAUCCUAAUGACUCUCACGGCAAUUGGAUAAAUGGUAUUGCUAUUGUUAAUGGUGAAGUAAAAUUAUACAAUAUGAGAUAUGAAGGUAAGUGCUAAUUUUAUAUUUUAUGCAUACUUAUGACAUUAAAAUAGAUCAUUAUGUUAUUGUUCGUUGUUAGAUGCAAUGCAUGUUUUAUAAUAAUUUAUUGACUUGUUUAUUUAAAUAGUUUGUGUGUGGGAAUUAUAUAAAUAAUAUAUCUUAAUUCUAUUUUUAGUUGGUUUCAUGUUUUUUUUGAGUAAAUAUUUUGUUUCUUUGUUUAUAAAGGAAAUGGAAGGGCAUUUGACUGACAUUAAGAAUUUGCAUCGGAUAAUCCUAGCUGUGUUGAUGAAAUUGUCUCUGAAAGAAUUUGAUGAUGAGUCAUUUGAUUGGCAAGUGAAGGCUAAACGAUCUAAAUAUUUCUAUAAAAAAUAUUGCUUGGAGGAAUUUGCGCAUUUAAUGUGCGAAUUACACUGGUACAUUGACAAUUAAGAAAUUUUCAUAUGUUCAAGAUGUGUUAUUUAUUAUUGUUUAUGUAGUCUUGCAUGAAUUUUGUUGUUUUAAUGGCUGACUUCUUUCACAGUAAGUAUCUACAAGUAUUUUUUUAUAAAUCAUUCUUUUGGGAUCCUAUAGAAAGAAAAUGGUUUUUAGAAAAAGUUACUUAAUGUGGACGAAAAAUGAUUAUCUAUUGAAAAGGUAUGUUGAUAGUUGUUUUGAUAGCAAGUGGAGUUGAUGGAUAUAUGUACCACCCAAAGGACUUUUUAGAGAUGUACUGGAAUAUAAAAUGGGUCAAAAUAGUGGUGGUCGGGAUGAAAGUCAAUACAAGAAAGUGGAUGCAAUCAGGUUUUGGCAUAAUUGUCGAUUUCAUUUGAAUAAUCAUUUGGACAAGUCUAAAAGACCUGUAAGUAAUAUUUUAAUCUUUAUUUGGUGUUCUUAUUAAUUUAUUUAAUAAAUUUACUUUUAUUGCUAUUACUCAUUAAUUGUAUUAAAAUAUAUUUCUAUCAUUUUAUUUUGCUCUCAUUCCAGAAACGUGUUGAAUAAAUUGAGGAUGAGUUAAAUGAGAAAUUUAGUAUAUGCUAUAACGUGUUUAAAGCUGUGUUGGCGACCAUCUAUUACAGGAAUUAGAAAUCUUUGUUCCUGUAAGUAAUGUGGCAUUUGUGGCCUUUAAUCUUGCUUAUUUUCUCAUGACUGCAUAGGUGUAUUUUUUUUUUCUUUCUUGUAGGUCUUCAAGACAUAAAUUGACUACAAUGCUACAUGAAAGAUUUGGAUUUGGGCUGCUGAUUAACCAGCAAAGAGUUGAUACAGGGAGCAACCAAUAAGGUGAAAGAUUUGGAGUGCUCUUAGCUAGAAGGGAGUUGGCGAUUUUGUCAAUUUUCAUUUGCUUAUAGACCUUGUUCAUGGUUAGUAUUUCUUUAUUAUCCUUCAAAUUGUCUGAUCCAUCGGGUGGAACAAGUGUUCUAUUUUCGCUCCUACUUGUGUUUCUAAAGUUGUUGAUCUCUAAAUCAAAUACUGUUUAAUUCAUUGAAAGCUAAGUCAGAGCACUACAAAUGACAAAGAGGGACUAAAGCCCAAAUCAGUCUCCAAGGUUGUCAAAAUGAGUUAUGGAUCUAUUACAAAAGCCCACACUUGAUGUGUUACGACCAGUCUUGGGAUUUAUUUUAUAUCUGAAGCUCCGGAGGUCCAAAUGAAGCAAACCCAAGCCCAAUUGAACCUUAAGAACCACCUCUAUAAUUUCUAUGAAGAGCUGGAAGCAAGAUAAGGCCGUUUUAAUUAUCAAAAAUGGAAAUGAAGUCGUCAUUAUGGGCUAGAUACUCUGUCAGAACCAGUUUUGGUUUUUGGCCCUUAACUUGGGCUGUAGACCUCCGAUUUGGGCAAAUAAGGAUUCGUUGGAAAGUUAAGAAGUAGGGCU
RNAcentral lists this unclassified non-coding RNA (2705 nucleotides) under Hevea brasiliensis (rubber tree). Lineage: Eukaryota; Viridiplantae; Streptophyta; Magnoliopsida; Malpighiales; Euphorbiaceae. The record is from RNAcentral.